This 762-nucleotide ribosomal RNA is filed under the name uncultured marine bacterium. Its description in RNAcentral is "bacterial SSU rRNA". It matches the Rfam family "Bacterial small subunit ribosomal RNA", at positions 56 to 826 of the family's 1533-position model. The record is from RNAcentral.
UGCAAGUUGAGCGAAGCUUUUUGGUAGUUUACUACUAGAAAUGACUGAGCGGCGAACGGGUGAGUAACGCGUGAGCAAUCUACCUUAGUUACUGGGAUAGCCCGAGGAAACUCGGAUUAAUACCGGAUAUUCUUAUUUUUUCACAUGAAGUUUUAAGGAAAGGUCAGCCGAACUAAGAUGAGCUCGCGUUCUAUCAGCUAGUUGGUGGGGUAAAAGCCUACCAAGGCUACGACGGAUAGCUGGUCUGAGAGGACGAUCAGCCACACUGGGACUGAGACACGGCCCAGACUCCUACGGGAGGCUGCAGCAGGGAAUAUUGUGCAAUGAGCGAAAGCUUGACACAGCGACACCGCGUGUGGGAUGACGGUUCUAGGAUUGUAAACCACUUUCAGGAGGGAAGAAAAUGACGGUACCUCCACAAGAAGACCCGGCCAACUAUGUGCCAGCAGCCGCGGUAAUACAUAGGGGUCAAGCGUUGUCCGGAUUUAUUGGGCGUAAAGAGCUCGUAGGCGGUUCAACAAGUCGGUCGUAAAAGUUUAGGGCUCAACCCUAAAAUGUCGAUCGAUACUGUUGUGACUAGGAUACGGUAGAGGUGAAUGGAAUUCCGAGUGUAGCGGUGAAAUGCGUAGAUAUUCGGAGGAACACCAAUUGCGAAGGCAGUUCACUGGACCGUGAUCGACGCUGAGGAGCGAAAGCUAGGGGAGCAAACAGGAUUAGAUACCCUGGUAGUCCUAGCUGUAAACGAUGGAUACUAGAUGUAGG